UGCGGCGUGCCUAAUACAUGCAAGUCGAACGCACGAAGUUGAAGAGCUUGCUCUUUAACCAAGUGAGUGGCGGACGGGUGAGUAACACGUGGGUAACCUGCCCAUUAGAGGGGGAUAACAUUCGGAAACGGAUGCUAAUACCGCAUAGUUUCAGGAAUCGCAUGAUUCUUGAAGGAAAGGUGGCUUCGGCUACCACUAAUGGAUGGACCCGCGGCGUAUUAGCUAGUUGGUGAGGUAAUGGCUCACCAAGGCAAUGAUACGUAGCCGACCUGAGAGGGUGAUCGGCCACACUGGGACUGAGACACGGCCCAGACUCCUACGGGAGGCAGCAGUAGGGAAUCUUCCGCAAUGGACGAAAGUCUGACGGAGCAACGCCGCGUGAGUGAAGAAGGUUUUCGGAUCGUAAAACUCUGUUGUUAAAGAAGAACAAGGAUGAGAGUAACUGCUCAUCCCCUGACGGUAUUUAACCAGAAAGCCACGGCUAACUACGUGCCAGCAGCCGCGGUAAUACGUAGGUGGCAAGCGUUGUCCGGAUUUAUUGGGCGUAAAGCGAGCGCAGGCGGUUCUUUAAGUCUGAUGUGAAAGCCCCCGGCUCAACCGGGGAGGGUCAUUGGAAACUGGAGAACUUGAG
This 631-nucleotide ribosomal RNA is filed under the name Carnobacterium maltaromaticum. RNAcentral describes it as "bacterial SSU rRNA". It matches the Rfam family "Bacterial small subunit ribosomal RNA", at positions 38 to 646 of the family's 1533-position model. The record is from RNAcentral. Lineage: Bacteria; Bacillati; Bacillota; Bacilli; Lactobacillales; Carnobacteriaceae.